RNAcentral lists this ribosomal RNA (254 nucleotides) under uncultured bacterium. RNAcentral's name for it is "partial 16S ribosomal RNA". It matches the Rfam family "Bacterial small subunit ribosomal RNA", at positions 524 to 776 of the family's 1533-position model. The record is from RNAcentral.
UACGUAGGGGGCUAGCGUUGUCCGGAAUUAUUGGGCGUAAAGAGCUCGUAGGCGGUCUGUCGCGUCGGUCGUGAAAACUUGGGGCUUAACCCUGAGCUUGCGGUCGAUACGGGCAUGACUGGAGUUCGGCAGGGGAGACUGGAAUUCCUGGUGUAGCGGUGAAAUGCGUAGAUAUCUGGAGGAAUACCGGUGGCGAAGGCGGCAUCCUGGACCGGCAUUGACGCUGAUGAGCGAAAGCUAGGGGAGCAAACGGG